GAUGAAGAACGCAGCGAAAUGCGAUAAGUAGUGUGAAUUGCAGAACUCAGUGAAUCAUCGAAUCUUUGAACGCACAUUGCGCCCUUUGGUAUUCCAAAGGGCAUGCCUGUUCGAGCGUCAUUUGUACCCUCAAGCUUUGCUUGGUGUUGGGCGUCUUGUCUCUAGCUUUGCUGGAGACUCGCCUUAAAGUAAUUGGCAGCCGGCCUACUGGUUUCGGAGCGCAGCACAAGUCGCACUCUCUAUCAGCAAAGGUCUAGCAUCCAUUAAGCCUUUUUUUCAACUUUUGACCUCGGAUCAGGUAGGGAUACCCGCUGAACUUAAGCAUAUCAAUAAGCGGAGGA
RNAcentral lists this unclassified non-coding RNA (341 nucleotides) under soil metagenome. Its description in RNAcentral is "partial contains 5.8S ribosomal RNA, internal transcribed spacer 2, and large subunit ribosomal RNA". The stretch from base 1 to 120 matches the Rfam family "5.8S ribosomal RNA", at positions 35 to 154 of the family's 154-position model. The record is from RNAcentral.